This 468-nucleotide ribosomal RNA is filed under the name uncultured bacterium. Its description in RNAcentral is "partial 16S ribosomal RNA". It matches the Rfam family "Bacterial small subunit ribosomal RNA", at positions 28 to 507 of the family's 1533-position model. The record is from RNAcentral.
GACGAACGCUGGCGGCGUGCUUAACACAUGCAAGUCGAACGGAAAGGCCCUGCUUUUGUGGGGUGCUCGAGUGGCGAACGGGUGAGUAACACGUGAGUAACCUGCCCUUGAUUUUGGGAUAACUUCAGGAAACUGGGGCUAAUACCGGAUAGGAGCUCCUGCUGCAUGGUGGGGGUUGGAAAGUUUCGGCGGUUGGGGAUGGACUCGCGGCUUAUCAGCUUGUUGGUGGGGUAGUGGCUUACCAAGGCUUUGACGGGUAGCCGGCCUGAGAGGGUGACCGGCCACAUUGGGACUGAGAUACGGCCCAGACUCCUACGGGAGGCAGCAGUGGGGAAUAUUGCACAAUGGGCGGAAGCCUGAUGCAGCAACGCCGCGUGCGGGAUGACGGCCUUCGGGUUGUAAAACGCUUUCGCCUGUGACGAAGCGUGAGUGACGGUAAUGGGUAAAGAAGCACCGGCUAACUACGUG